GUGCUAUCUUUAGUAGCACAUAUACUAAAAUUGGAACAAUACAGACGAAAGUAUCAUGGUCCCUGCACAAGAAUGACACACAAAUUCCUAAAACUUUGCUAUUUUUU
This is a small nuclear RNA of Echinops telfairi (small Madagascar hedgehog), 107 nucleotides long. Lineage: Eukaryota; Metazoa; Chordata; Mammalia; Afrosoricida; Tenrecidae. The record is from RefSeq and is a predicted model, not a curated record.